UCUAAAGAAGAUAUAAGUGUAUGGAGUUUCAGCCUAUUUAUAUGAAAGGCAGCCCUCAGCCCUGCAACGCCAAUACAUCAUGUCAGUGUCCCUAUGUAGUCUUUCAUAUAUAUCAUCACGCACCACUGAUAGUUGAAGCUGCCAGCAUGAUCUAGCUAUCCAUCCCUCCUUUAGUUUAUCUUUCAGGGAGAAAACUAGAUCAUAUGGCAGCUUCAUCUGUCCAUGGUAGCAUGAAUAAAACCCUAAUACAAAUCAUCCCACAAAACCCUAUUUUCGGAUACAAAACCCUGGUAUUGAAAAAGAUUUAUUUGAAGGAUCUUAUACAAGGAUGUUUGUUAGGGUUUAAGUGACCAGAUUCCUUUUACUUGGGCUUUGAUAAAGUGUUAAAUACAGGAUUGCAAGACCUGACACUUUUCACUACAUUUUUUCAAUCUCAAUUCUUACUUACCAAAAAAAAAAAAGGAGCUGUCCUAACAUUUAUAGGUUUUGAAGCUCAAUCAAAGUGAACAAUAUUGUUUGAUAAGGGUCAAUCCUCCACUGCAAAUCUGCAUCACUCAUGAGUAAAGAUCAGCUCUCUGUCACUUUGUGGUCCUAGUAAUAGGCUUUUCUGGAAAUAGAAACAUCAAAUUUCUAUUUCUUUUUUUAAAGAUAGAAAUCCCAAGUCCCAAGUUCUCAAAGGAAUGGACAGAUGAGUCAACUUUCUACGCCAUGAUUGUGAUGCCACUGCCUGAUUUCUGGGAUAUACAGUCAUUACUUACCCACCUCAAAAUAUGCUAUGACACAGUGCAUGUACACUGAUCCAUGUACAUGCGCAUAUAAUAAGCCAUGAUUUCAGAUCGGUUUCAAAGUAUUUCAAUUUGUUUGAGCUUAGUUGGACUUUUGGAUGUUGCACAUAGUUUCUUCUAUUUUUUAUUUUACAUUAUAAUAUUUAAUUUUAUAA
This is a long non-coding RNA of Gossypium arboreum, 940 nucleotides long. RefSeq lists it as uncharacterized. The transcript is spliced from 3 exons. The record is from RefSeq and is a predicted model, not a curated record. NCBI's taxonomy places the organism in Eukaryota, Viridiplantae, Streptophyta, Magnoliopsida, Malvales, Malvaceae.